AUUGAACGCUGGCGGCAGGCCUAACACAUGCAAGUCGAACGAGCGGCGGACGGGUGAGUAAUGUCUGGGAAACUGCCUGAUGGAGGGGGAUAACUACUGGAAACGGUAGCUAAUACCGCAUACCAUCAGAUGUGCCCAGCUGUGAUGAGCUAGUAGGUGGGGUAAGGGCUCACCAAGGCGACGAUCCCUAGCUUGUCUGAGAGGAUGACCAGCCACACUGGAACUGAGACACGGUCCAGAUUCCUACGGGAGGCAGAAGUGGGGAAUAUUGCACAAUGUGCGCAAGCCUUAUGCAGCCAUGCCGCGUGUAUGAAGAAGGCCUUCGGGUUGUAAAGUACUUUCAGCGGGGAGGCGUUACCCGCAGAAGAAGCACCGGCUAACUCCGUGCCAGCAGCCGCGGUAAUUC
This 406-nucleotide ribosomal RNA is filed under the name uncultured bacterium. Its description in RNAcentral is "partial 16S ribosomal RNA". It matches the Rfam family "Bacterial small subunit ribosomal RNA", at positions 30 to 526 of the family's 1533-position model. The record is from RNAcentral.